Molecule: ribosomal RNA, 608 nt
Filed under: Sphingobacterium siyangense
Lineage: Bacteria; Pseudomonadati; Bacteroidota; Sphingobacteriia; Sphingobacteriales; Sphingobacteriaceae
Also listed under: 1 other name
Description: bacterial SSU rRNA
Rfam family: Bacterial small subunit ribosomal RNA
Source: RNAcentral
GGCGAGCUUGCUCAAAGAUGGUGAGAGUGGCGCACGGGUGCGUAACGCGUGAGCAACCUACCUCUAUCAGGGGGAUAGCCUCUCGAAAGAGAGAUUAACACCGCAUAACAUCAACAGUUCGCAUGUUCGGUUGAUUAAAUAUUUAUAGGAUAGAGAUGGGCUCGCGUGACAUUAGCUAGUUGGUAGGGUAACGGCUUACCAAGGCGACGAUGUCUAGGGGCUCUGAGAGGAGAAUCCCCCACACUGGUACUGAGACACGGACCAGACUCCUACGGGAGGCAGCAGUAAGGAAUAUUGGUCAAUGGGCGGAAGCCUGAACCAGCCAUGCCGCGUGCAGGAUGACUGCCCUAUGGGUUGUAAACUGCUUUUGUCCAGGAAUAAACCCAGAUACGUGUAUCUGGCUGAAUGUACUGGAAGAAUAAGGAUCGGCUAACUCCGUGCCAGCAGCCGCGGUAAUACGGAGGAUCCGAGCGUUAUCCGGAUUUAUUGGGUUUAAAGGGUGCGUAGGCGGCCAAUUAAGUCAGGGGUGAAAUACGGUGGCUCAACCAUCGCAGUGCCUUUGAUACUGAUUGGCUUGAAUCCAUUUGAAGUGGGCGGAAUAAGACAAG